UCAGAUAUGGUGUAGCGGUAACAUGGCCUCCUGUAUUACUGAGGCCGUCCUGGGUUCGACUCCCAGUAUCUGAC
Molecule: non-coding RNA, 74 nt
Organism: Mycena crocata
Lineage: Eukaryota; Fungi; Basidiomycota; Agaricomycetes; Agaricales; Mycenaceae
Source: the annotation of a GenBank genome assembly